RNAcentral lists this ribosomal RNA (1356 nucleotides) under Triticum aestivum (bread wheat). RNAcentral's name for it is "partial small subunit ribosomal RNA". Lineage: Eukaryota; Viridiplantae; Streptophyta; Magnoliopsida; Poales; Poaceae. The record is from RNAcentral.
AUGGCUUUCUCCGCGCGGAGGAGCCUCGCCACCAGCCUCUCCAGCCACCUCACCCGCCGCCUCCACCCCUCCCUCUCCCACCUCGUCCCCUCCUCCCACCGCGACGACAACCACGAGGACGCCUCCUCCUCCUCCUCCGCCCCCCUGUUCCCCACCCAGCAAGCCCCCCUGCACUUCCCCUCCGGCGACCUCCGUCGGCGCGCGAGAUCCCNNGGCCUGGCCCUCCCCCUCCCCUUCGGCGCCCACCUCGCGGCCCGCCGCAGCUUCUCCACCUCCUCCCCCGGACCGCAGAUCGAUGGGAUCCUCACCGACCCCGCGGCUGGCCAGAUGGAUGUCGCGGCGGGCGUCCUCUCCGACGCCGCGGCCUCGGUCGCGCCCGCCUUCCCGCUGCCCUUCCCGGGGGAAGUGGCCGCCGCCGCCGCAGACUCGUUUCCCCCCGUCGCGGCACUGCAGUACGCCAUCGACGCCGUCCAUUCGUUCACCGGGCUCAACUGGUGGGCUUCUAUUGCGGUGACGACCAUCUUGAUCCGAACGGUGACGAUCCCGCUGCUUGUGAACCAGUUGAAGUCUACGAUGAAGUUGAAUGCAAUGAGGCCAGAAAUUGAGGCAAUCAACAUGGAGAUGCGAAAUUCAAUGGAUCCACAAUCAAUGUUAGAGGGGAAGAAGAAAUUGGGCGAGCUAUUCACGAAGCAUGGUGUUAAUCCAUUGACACCCUUGAAGGGUAUAUUCAUCCAAGGGCCUAUAUUCAUGAGCUUUUUCUUUGCUAUACAAAACAUGGUGGAGAAAGUCCCUUCUUUGAAAGGAGGUGGAGCAUAUUGGUUUACUGAUUUGACAACUCCUGACGAACUUUAUAUCCUCCCAGUAUUGACAUCGGUGACAUUCUUGGCUACGGUGGAGCUCAACAUGCAAGAAGGCAUGGAGGGAAAUCCUAUGCUGCAAACAAUGAAGAAGUUCUCUAGAAUAUUGGCUCUUAUGACUAUACCAUUUACAAUGCACUUUCCCAAGGCAAUUUUCUGUUACUGGGUAACGGCAAACUUGUUCUCUCUUGGGUAUGGUUUUGCUCUCCGGAAGACAGCCGUAAGGUAUUUCUUGAAUCUUCCGGAGGUUAUACCACAGCCCGAACCUGCGCAAAUGUCGACCUUCAACCUUUUCGAGACACCAAAGCCAGUGUCAGCAGUUGAUACACCCACUGGGAACAACAGUGAUUCACCCAUUGGAGACAACGGUGAUUCACCCACCGCAGCCAACGGGUCAGAGCAGUCUAAUGCUGAGCUAAGCGAUCGGGUUGUGUUUCUUGAGAAGAAGAUUGCAGAACUUGAGAGGCGGGCUAAAGCUAGAGGCGAAUCUCAAGAGUAA